Long non-coding RNA from Chinchilla lanigera (long-tailed chinchilla), 774 nucleotides. RefSeq lists it as uncharacterized. NCBI's taxonomy places the organism in Eukaryota, Metazoa, Chordata, Mammalia, Rodentia, Chinchillidae. The record is from RefSeq and is a predicted model, not a curated record. The transcript has 2 exons.
CUUUCUGGACUGCGAGAGAGAUCCUGUCUACGGCAAUGAGGGGUGCCUGCUGUUCAUACACCUGUGGGGUGCCCAGCAGGAAAUACCAGGACAUUGCCACCAGACAGCGCUCAUUAAAGCCUCCGCCCUCCACUGAGGCCCUGAAAACCAGGAACUCUUCCAGGUCACCUGAGGAGUAAAGGCAGCAUCAAGGGUGCAGGGCGGGGAAGCAGGGGUACCCACUGGUGUCCCAGUGCUAUUCACAGGGAUCUGACAGGGGCACAGCCAAGCAGGAACUGCAGGGGCUCCUGCCUGGCAAGAUGCGGCCAGAUGUGCCCCCAUCCCACAGUGCCAGCAUGCUCCCAGCUGCCUCUGUGUCAUCAUUUCUUAAGAAAGACAUCGUUUUUGCCAACUUCUUCAUCAUUCAUCUGCUAAGUGUCCACGCUGCUGGGCAGAUGUGAGAAGAAAGAAAAUAAGAAAACCUUCCAGCACAUUCCGUUCAUCCACAGCACAGCUGUUCUAAGCCUGGAUGCUAGAGACAGUUUAGAGAGUGGUGGUGAACCUAUGGCACGAAUGCUGCUGCAGACUGUUAUCACUGAGAGCUCUAAAAGGUUCGCCAUUACUAGUUUAGGGUUUUAGGAUGUUGGAAGAAAACACCAUGUCACAUGAAGGCACACUGUGACCAGGCAAAGAUAAGGUCAUACAAAGAUCACUGAGCUUUUUGCAUUUCAGCUACGAAUGGUCCUGACAACCAGGGCAGUAAUAAAUGCCUCACCAUGUCCCUUUAUCAAGGUA